AGGCUAAGAAAAACAUCAAAUUUGCAGCCCAUUGCUUUACAGCUUUGUAUUUGUAAUGACAUGAAUACUCAUACAUAUACAUUUCAUAUAAGUGUUACAAAAAAGAAAAAAGAUGUAUAGGGCAGAAACAAUAGAUUUCACGUAUGUCCCUUGUGCAUGGUCUUUUUGGCGCAACAGUAUAGUUACUCUAUUGUAACUUGGGUGAUGAGUCUGAAACAAGGAAAUGACUUCUCUGCAUGUGGGAAUAAGGCUGCAUACACCUAACCCCCUUCCAAACCUCAUAGUGGCUAGAGCCUCAUGCACAUAGUUUCAAUCUACUCUCCAUUCGAGUUUAUGCAUUAUUAUAUGUUAGACAUUCCAAUUCUCUCAGCAAAUCGAGUCUCUUAUUGCAUGCAAUGCACAGCCAGCAAUAUUUGCACGUUGCCAUGGCUCGCUGCCCUUUUUGAAUUCAAACUAAUGCUAGAACAGUAGGAAGAGAUGGAUGUUUGGUCCAGAACUUUUGGCCUUCUGGCUGGGUUAAAAUCCUUGAGUGCAUAGAUUCAUAAAACCCAAUGUUCUAUUAAAAAGGAUGAUAAUAACAACAAGAGGCUGCUAUGUGAAAUGUUAUAUAAUCUUGAGUACCCUUAAAUAUAGUUGGAUCAUUUACUGCACACCCUUAAACAUAAUCCCGAGCACUGAACAUUAACAUUCUCUAUUUCAUAUGCUCUACUACUUCCACUAGGUAUUUGGAUAAGAACAGCAGUAAUUUUAAAAUGCUUCAUGAAUUACCUGAUGUUUUGUCCUGUCCCACAUGGCAGUUGAACUAGGCCCAACAGGCUUGUGUUUGACUUGGCGUAUAUUGAAUUAUUUUAUGGGACUAUCCCCUAGUUACUUGGUAAAGACAUGCUCCGUAUCAUUGGUCUUUCAAUGCAGUUUCUAGUCAAGACUUCACUUUGCCAGCAGUAUGUGUAAGCUGAUGUUUUCUGGUUUUCUGGUUUGCAUGUCCCAGUCCACUCUAAUUAUUACUCGUCCAAACUUUAUCCUGUGAAGUUUUGGAUAGUUAUUUUAUUUUAUUGGUACCUGUCUUUGUCUCUUCCAUAGUUCUUCCUGGUAUAACAGCUUUUUAAUAGUACUUUUUGCCAGAAUUAUGUCCCUCAAUUCUUUCAAAUCCAUCAGGAGAAAUAGAAGAUAGUCAUGCAUAUUAGCUGAUGCAUCUUUUCUUAAAUUUUGUUUUAAAGUAGAAAGAAAUGAACCAGUGUCAUAUAGUUUCUGACUAGUUGCACGUCAUACUAUUUAUUAUUCCAUCUGUGUCUGAUCAAGAAUAUUUGCUAUCUGUCUUACGCAUGGAACUGGCUAUGACGAUGGAGCAGCAGGUCCAUCUGGUGGCUUUACCUUCAAUACAUGUUUGGCUUUGUCGCAUAUCUUGGCAGUAAUUAUCCAAUAAUUAAGCUCAAAUAUUUUUUUUUCUGUGGGGGAUGGGAUGGGAAGGGACUCAGAGACUUUACAGUUGCUGUCACGUAACAGAGGUUGAGUAUACUCAUGAUAGGCUGUCAUUUUUGGAUGGCAGUGCAAUCUUGAAUUUGCCAAUGUUUUAUCUUGAACGUAAAUUCUGCCUUAAUUACUUAUCAAAAUACCAUGUCUUGCUCGUCAAAGGCUAGCUUUCUAGUGGCAUUAUAUUUCUCAGAAUUCAGUCACUCCAUCUGCUAACAUGCCCUGACACAUAAUCAUAGUUUUCCUUCCAACAGUCACAUGCAAUAUGCAUCAUAUUGGUCAAGGAAAAAGAUGAAUGUCACAACAACUUUGACAAAGGGAAUCUCUCUCUCUCUAUAGAAAGAAAACUAGGUUCAGUUUACUUGGAAAUUCAAAUAUCAUCCAUUAAGAUGCUUCCACUAGACCUAUUAUAAGAUCAGCUACAUAANNN
RNAcentral lists this long non-coding RNA (1900 nucleotides) under Phoenix dactylifera (date palm). RNAcentral's name for it is "long non-coding RNA (PDAC_LNC010661)". The record is from RNAcentral. Lineage: Eukaryota; Viridiplantae; Streptophyta; Magnoliopsida; Arecales; Arecaceae.